RNAcentral lists this ribosomal RNA (403 nucleotides) under bacterium. Its description in RNAcentral is "partial 16S ribosomal RNA". It matches the Rfam family "Bacterial small subunit ribosomal RNA", at positions 355 to 776 of the family's 1533-position model. The record is from RNAcentral.
UGGGGAAUAUUGCACAAUGGAGGGAACUCUGAUGCAGCGACGCCGCGUGAACGAAGAAGGCUUUCGAGUCGUAAAGUUCUUUUAUAUGGGAAGAUAAUGACGGUACCAUAAGAAAAAGCCCCGGCUAACUACGUGCCAGCAGCCACGGUAAUACGUAGGGGGCUAGCGUUGUCCGGAAUCACUGGGCGUAAAGGGUUCGCAGGCGGAAAUGCAAGUCAGGUGUAAAAGGCAGUAGCUUAACUACUGUAAGCAUUUGAAACUGCAUAUCUUGAGAAGAGUAGAGGUAAGUGGAAUUUUUAGUGUAGCGGUGAAAUGCGUAGAUAUUAAAAAGAAUACCGGUGGCGAAGGCGGCUUACUGGGCUCAUUCUGACGCUGAGGAACGAAAGCGUGGGUAGCAAACAGG